This 253-nucleotide ribosomal RNA is filed under the name uncultured bacterium. Its description in RNAcentral is "partial 16S ribosomal RNA". It matches the Rfam family "Bacterial small subunit ribosomal RNA", at positions 524 to 776 of the family's 1533-position model. The record is from RNAcentral.
UACAGAGGGGGCAAGCGUUGUUCGGAAUUACUGGGCGUAAAGGGCGCGUAGGCGGCCUGUUAAGUCGAACGUGAAAUCCCCAGGCUCAACCCGGGAACUGCGUCCGAUACUGGUUGGCUUGAGUUUGGGAGAGGGAUGCGGAAUUCCAGGUGUAGCGGUGAAAUGCGUAGAUAUCUGGAGGAACACCGGUGGCGAAGGCGGCAUCCUGGACCAAUACUGACGCUGAGGAGCGAAAGCCAGGGGAGCAAACGGG